Molecule: long non-coding RNA, 2027 nt
Organism: Musa acuminata subsp. malaccensis (wild Malaysian banana)
Lineage: Eukaryota; Viridiplantae; Streptophyta; Magnoliopsida; Zingiberales; Musaceae
Source: RefSeq, a predicted model, not a curated record
UUCCUCUUCGUCGCGGCCAACUCUUCCGAAUCGGCGAACGCCACGUGGCCAGCGCGUAGGAUGCAGCGCGUUCCGCAUAUAAAAGCCGGUGGGGAUAACUCCGUUACCCCUUUCUUCGUCUUCGCGGUUCACACCACCGACACCGCUGCAUUUGGGUACUGCGAGAUGCAAUUUUGUAUCCAUUUAUUGAAACGGCCACACCUCUGCCGCUGCAUUUGUGGCCGUCGCGGAAUAUACGGAACGUUAAAAAAGCAGAAGAUAUCAGGAUAAAUAAAGGAAUUCUCUGAAUUCACCAAAGUUAUGAAUUUGAGAAGAGAGAGUAUCGAAACAACAGAGCUGCUCUGUUUGAUAGCAUUGAGGAGGGUGGCAUUCAGGCCUCAUCUUAAUCGUCUCAUGAAAUUGCUGAGUAUGACUAAGAUAAAUAUAUUGAUGGGUUGCAAGAUAGAGUGAAUUUUUAAAAAAGAGUAGGUCAUUUACAAUAUUUUAUUUGAUUUUUUGGUAAAUAUUUCCUGACUUAUUAUAUUUUAUCAAGUCCUACUCAAAUUUCUCUUGAUAUAACUGUUGGACCUGUUGUUUAUCUUGUUAAUAUAUUUCAUAGAUAUUGUGAUUGAUAUUAGAACAAAUAUCUUUCUUAAGAUUGGAAGCUUCUUGAUGGACCUGUGCUUUUUUUGGUUUUGUGAUGUGUUUUAGCACUUACUUCUUCACUGCCACUGGUGACGGUUCUUUUUUUGUUGGGUGAGGACCGGUGACAGUUAUUUUAGUCGAUGCUUGGGUUUAAACUUGACACCCCAGCUUCAGUCAUAUUUUUAUGAUCUACCUGGUCAUGUUCUUCCAGAUUAUUAGAAUUUUGUUUUUGAUGAUGAAUGUGUAAAAUAUUCUUCUUUAGAGUUGUUCCAUAUGGACUGGUAAGAGAUACUCUGCUGUUUCUUUGCCCAGAGAUAUCUAUUUAAUGCUGUAAUGUUUGAUCUUCAGAACUCUGAGCCCUGCUAAGGAGUCAUGCUUCAUAUUACCCAGUUGAAGACCUUAAUAUUGGUGGAAUAUCUUUGGUCAAUAUGCAAAUGUUACACUCUAUGAUUAGAUCUUGUUUUUUUUCAAGAUCACCCUAAAUAUUUUCCCCUUCUCAUUAUUUCUAAAAUUGCCACAAAUUUACUUAAACAGUUUUAUUUAGUAAUCUAAAGAGAAAAUAUCUUCUAAUUUUCCAGUUUGUAUAUCCUUUUCUUAUUUUCAUUUAAUUGUUCUUGUGCCCAUCUCUUUUAUUUGAGUUUGGUAAUUCAAUUAGUUUUUCAUCUUCUGAAACAUCAGCAGUUUAACAGAGAAAUUAUGCCUUUGUCAUUUAUUUUUAUAUCGACAAUCAUCUCAAUCAUUUCCUUUUUUUUGUGACACAGUUGAUGCCUAUUUAUCUAUCUUAACAUGCAGCGAUAAGGAAUUUAAUUAUCUUAGAAAACUUGGCUAUUUGUUGCUAUUACAUUUUAGUUAUUAUGAUCAUCUUGGUGUGAAGUUGAUGGGAAAUACAUGAAGAAGUCGAGAUCCAUAAUCAUGCCUUGGACCAAAUGGGUCAUGACAUGGAUACUUCCAGCGGAGUCCUUUCUGGAACAGUUGAUCGAUUCAAGAUGGUAAAUACACUUCACAUCUGUUCAUUGGGUUUCUACUUCUGUUUUUGACCAAAAUUAAAUUUUCUUCCUUAGGUUUUUGAGAGAAAGUUGAAUUGCAGAAUGGCUACACUUGUGAUCUCUUUCCUGGUGCUCUUCUUACUCAUGUAUUACCUAACCAAGUAGAAAUCUUCAGCUUUAUAGUACACAAGCAGAUUGUUGGUCCUUUUAAAGUGAUUUAUUGCGACUGUAGCCCUCACGCGUGAUAUCCUUUUGCGUACUAUUACUGUAUAUGUGAAAUUGACACCUUAGAUGUUGAAUCUUGUGAGGUUGAAGACUAAGAAUGAGUCCUAUCAUUUUCAGGUCUUUUAUCUUGUAGUCCUAUCAUUUUCCUGUUGAACGUUUUAGAAUCUUAAUAAAGAUGAUGAAUUACUUGAA